Molecule: ribosomal RNA, 332 nt
Filed under: uncultured bacterium
Lineage: Bacteria
Description: bacterial SSU rRNA
Rfam family: Bacterial small subunit ribosomal RNA
Source: RNAcentral
CGCGUAGGCGGUUUUUUAAGUCAGAUGUGUAAUCCCCGAGCUUAACUUGGGAACUGCAUCUGAGACUGGGAGGCUAGAGUACUGGAGAGGGUGGUGGAAUUCCUCGUGUAGCGGUGAAAUGCGUAGAGAUGAGGAGGAACACCAGUGGCGAAGGCGGCCACCUGGACAGUAACUGACGCUGAGGCGCGAAAGUGUGGGUAGCAAACAGGAUUAGAUACCCUGGUAGUCCACGCUGUAAACGAUGAACACUUGGUGUGGAGGGAGUUGACCCCUUCCGUGCCGGAGCUAACGCGUUAAGUGUUCCGCCUGGGGAGUACGGUCGCAAGGCUGAA